Molecule: ribosomal RNA, 484 nt
Filed under: uncultured bacterium
Lineage: Bacteria
Description: partial 16S ribosomal RNA
Rfam family: Bacterial small subunit ribosomal RNA
Source: RNAcentral
AUUGAACGCUGGCGGCAGGCCUAAUACAUGCAAGUCGAGCGGACGAAGGGAGAUCGUUCUUGUAUUAAGUGGCGGACGGGCGAGUAAGUAAUACGUAUCUGACCUGCCGAUGGGGAUGAGGUCCGGUCAGGGGCGCGAAUAUCGUAUAGGUCAAUAGGUAGAAAGGGGUGGAUCUAUAGAGCUCACCGUAUCUGCUGAGCCUAGGUCGGAUUAGCUAGUUGGAUGGGUAAAGGCCUACCAAGGCGACGAUCCGUAACUGGUCUGAGAGGAUGAUCGGUCACACUGGAACUGAGACACGGUCCAGACUCCUACGGGAGGCAGCAGUGGGGAAUAUUGCGCAAUGGGCGAAAGCCUGAUCCAGCAAUGCCGCGUGUGUGAAGAAGGUCUUCGGAUUGUAAAGCACUUUAAGUAGGGAGGAAGAAAAGUGAAUUAAAACAUUGCUGUUUUGACGUUACCAACAGAAUAAGCCACGGCUAACUACGUG